AACGAACGCUGGCGGCAGGCCUAACACAUGCAAGUCGAGCGCGCCUUCGGGUGAGCGGCGGACGGGUUAGUAACGCGUGGGAACGUGCCCUUCUCUACGGAAUAGCCUCUGGAAACGGAGAGUAAUACCGUAUACGCCCUUUGGGGGAAAGAUUUAUCGGAGAAGGAUCGGCCCGCGUUAGAUUAGGUAGUUGGUGAGGUAAAGGCUCACCAAGACGAUGAUGGGUAGCUGGUCUGAGAGGAUGAUCAGCCACAAUGGGACUGAGACACGGCCCAUACCCCUACGGGGGGCAGCAGUGGGGAAUAUUGCACAAUGGACGAAAGUCUGAUGCAGCCACCCCGCGUGGAGGAUGAAGCAUUACGGUGUGUAAACUCCUUUUCUGGAGGAAGACGACUGACGGUACUCCAGGAAUAAGCGACGGCUAACUACGUG
This 432-nucleotide ribosomal RNA is filed under the name uncultured bacterium. RNAcentral's name for it is "bacterial SSU rRNA". It matches the Rfam family "Bacterial small subunit ribosomal RNA", at positions 29 to 507 of the family's 1533-position model. The record is from RNAcentral.